CUCUCCCAUUUUCCUUCUGGGAAGAAAGACUUAUAUGACUGUUGCUUAGGAAAGCCUUGGAUAAGGAGCAUAAAAAAGAAAGAUGUGUAACCCUCACUGGUGCGAGAGAAUGGCAAGGACUCAGAUCUCUUGUUGAGAAGGAAGACACGAUUACUUCUUCUUGGGAGCCAUUGAUAAGGAACACCGUUGAGAGAGGAAGACCAAAGGAGAUAAGAGGCGAGAAG
RNAcentral lists this long non-coding RNA (224 nucleotides) under Elaeis guineensis (African oil palm). RNAcentral's name for it is "long non-coding RNA (EGUI_LNC027139)". The record is from RNAcentral. Lineage: Eukaryota; Viridiplantae; Streptophyta; Magnoliopsida; Arecales; Arecaceae.